Molecule: unclassified non-coding RNA, 416 nt
Filed under: Hevea brasiliensis (rubber tree)
Lineage: Eukaryota; Viridiplantae; Streptophyta; Magnoliopsida; Malpighiales; Euphorbiaceae
Source: RNAcentral
UUUAAAUAUAGCCUGCACAAUACAUUCAACAAAGUCAAUUUGUGUUUAUUUGGGAAAACAAAAGUAGCCUUAGAUAUAAAGUAGAAAAGAUGGUGUCUUGGUACACAAGGCUUCAUCAAGGUAGGGCCAGAAACGUGCAACCUUCUUGUGCAUUACAAGAAAGCUGUUUCUAAAGUUUGAACAUGCAACUCCUUAAUGGCCAACCUUAUCAUUACAGCAAGGUUCACCAAACCCAAAUGAAGAAAUACAAAUAAAAAAGGCAAGAACUAAGAAGGAAAGAUGCCAAUAAGUACUGUUGGCCCUAUCUGAUCAUCUAUGGCCUAGAAGCAAAAGAACUAUGACACCAACAUCAACAAAAGCAUGAAAUACAUAUAACUUUAUCCUCAUGCGUGCACUAGAGAGAGAGAGAGAGAGAG